UGCAGCAACGCCGCGUGAGGGACGACGGCCUUCGGGUUGUAAACCUCUUUUAGCAGGGAAGAAGCGAAAGUGACGGUACCUGCAGAAAAAGCACCGGCUAACUACGUGCCAGCAGCCGCGGUAAUACGUAGGGUGCAAGCGUUAUCCGGAAUUAUUGGGCGUAAAGAGCUCGUAGGCGGUUUGUCGCGUCUGCUGUGAAAACUGGGGGCUCAACCCCCAGCCUGCAGUGGGUACGGGCAGACUAGAGUGCGGUAGGGGAGAUUGGAAUUCCUGGUGUAGCGGUGGAAUGCGCAGAUUUCAGGAGGAACACCGAUGGCGAAGGCAGAUCUCUGGGCCGUAACUGACGCUGAGGAGCGAAAGGGUGGGGAGCAAACAGGCUUAGAUACCCUGGUAGUCCACCCCGUAAACGUUGGGAACUAGUUGUGGGGUCCAUUCCACGGAUUCCGUGACGCAUCUGACGCAUUAAGUUCCCCGCCUGGGGAGUACGGCCGCAAGGCUAAAACUCAAAGGAAUUGACGGGGACCCGCACAAGCGGCGGAGCAUGCGGAUUAAUUCGAUGCAACGCGAAGAACCUUACCAAGGCUUGACAUAUACAAGAACGCUGCAGAAAUGUAGAACUCUUUGGAC
This 627-nucleotide ribosomal RNA is filed under the name Microbacterium sp. Se2Pt_452. Its description in RNAcentral is "bacterial SSU rRNA". It matches the Rfam family "Bacterial small subunit ribosomal RNA", at positions 387 to 1027 of the family's 1533-position model. Lineage: Bacteria; Bacillati; Actinomycetota; Actinomycetes; Micrococcales; Microbacteriaceae. The record is from RNAcentral.